UACGAACUGUGCGAACGUUAUUCGGAAUCACUGGGCUUAAAGGGUGCGUAGGCGGCUGUUUAAGUAGGGUGUGAAAGCCCCCGGCUCAACCGGGGAAUUGCGCCCUAAACUGGACAGCUUGAGUGAGGUAGGGGUGUACGGAACUUCCGGUGGAGCGGUGAAAUGUGUUGAUAUCGGAAGGAACGCCGGUAGCGAAAGCGGUACACUGGGUCUCAACUGACGCUGAGGCACGAAAGCCAGGGGAGCGAACGGG
This 253-nucleotide ribosomal RNA is filed under the name uncultured Planctomyces sp. Its description in RNAcentral is "partial 16S ribosomal RNA". It matches the Rfam family "Bacterial small subunit ribosomal RNA", at positions 524 to 776 of the family's 1533-position model. The record is from RNAcentral. Lineage: Bacteria; Pseudomonadati; Planctomycetota; Planctomycetia; Planctomycetales; Planctomycetaceae.